UUGUACUGAUUGAGAUUUUAACACGAAGUGAGUGGCGAACGGGUGAGUAACACGUGGGUAACCUGCCCAGAAGUAGGGGAUAACACCUGGAAACAGAUGCUAAUACCGUAUAACAGAGAAAACCGCAUGGUUUUCUUUUAAAAGAUGGCUCUGCUAUCACUUCUGGAUGGACCCGCGGCGUAUUAGCUAGUUGGUGAGGUAAAGGCUCACCAAGGCAGUGAUACGUAGCCGACCUGAGAGGGUAAUCGGCCACAUUGGGACUGAGACACGGCCCAGACUCCUACGGGAGGCAGCAGUAGGGAAUCUUCCACAAUGGACGCAAGUCUGAUGGAGCAACGCCGCGUGAGUGAAGAAGGGUUUCGGCUCGUAAAGCUCUGUUGUUAAAGAAGAACGUGGGUAAGAGUAACUGUUUACCCAGUGACGGUAUUUAACCAGAAAGCCACGGCUAACUACGUGCCAGCAGCCGCGGUAAUACGUAGGUGGCAAGCGUUAUCCGGAUUUAUUGGGCGUAAAGCGAGCGCAGGCGGUCUUUUAAGUCUAAUGUGAAAGCCUUCGGCUCAACCGAAGAAGUGCAUUGGAAACUGGGAGACUUGAGUGCAGAAGAGGACAGUGGAACUCCAUGUGUAGCGGUGAAAUGCGUAGAUAUAUGGAAGAACACCAGUGGCGAAGGCGGCUGUCUGGUCUGCAACUGACGCUGAGGCUCGAAAGCAUGGGUAGCGAACAGGAUUAGAUACCCUGGUAGUCCAUGCCGUAAACGAUGAUUACUAAGUGUUGGAGGGUUUCCGCCCUUCAGUGCUGCAGCUAACGCAUUAAGUAAUCCGCCUGGGGAGUACGACCGCAAGGUUGAAACUCAAAGAAUUGACGGGGGCCCGCACAAGCGGUGGAGCAUGUGGUUUAA
Molecule: ribosomal RNA, 898 nt
Filed under: Pediococcus pentosaceus
Lineage: Bacteria; Bacillati; Bacillota; Bacilli; Lactobacillales; Lactobacillaceae
Description: bacterial SSU rRNA
Rfam family: Bacterial small subunit ribosomal RNA
Source: RNAcentral